CAGUCGCCACGGGAAUACGAAGGGUGCAAGCGUUACUCGGAAUUACUGGGCGUAAAGCGUGCGUAGGUGGUGGUUUAAGUCCGUUGUGAAAGCCCUGGGCUCAACCUGGGAAUUGCAGUGGAUACUGGAUCACUAGAGUGCGGUAGAGGAUAGUGGAAUUUCCGGUGUAGCAGUGAAAUGCGUAGAGAUCGGAAGGAACAUCUGUGGCGAAGGCGACUAUCUGGGCCAACACUGACACUGAGGCACGAAAGCGUGGGAGCAAACAGGAUUAGAUACCCCUGUAGUCCCUGUCUCUUAUACA
Molecule: ribosomal RNA, 301 nt
Filed under: uncultured bacterium
Lineage: Bacteria
Description: partial 16S ribosomal RNA
Rfam family: Bacterial small subunit ribosomal RNA
Source: RNAcentral